RNAcentral lists this ribosomal RNA (254 nucleotides) under uncultured bacterium. Its description in RNAcentral is "partial 16S ribosomal RNA". It matches the Rfam family "Bacterial small subunit ribosomal RNA", at positions 524 to 776 of the family's 1533-position model. The record is from RNAcentral.
CACGUAGGGGGCAAGCGUUGUCCGGAUUUAUUGGGCGUAAAGAGCUCGUAGGCGGUUCGAUAAGUCGGGUGUGAAACCUCCAGGCUCAACCUGGAGACGCCACCCGAUACUGUCGUGACUAGAGUCCAGUAGGGGAGCGUGGAAUUCCUGGUGUAGCGGUGAAAUGCGCAGAUAUCAGGAGGAACACCGGUGGCGAAGGCGGGUCCCUGGGCCGAUACUGACGCUGAGGAGCGAAAGCGUGGGGAGCGAACAGG